UUGGCCAUGAGUGAUGUGUGGGCACACUGAUUUGGAUUGUCAGACGUUGAUAUUCACCAGAUUGGUUCAGUGACUACUCAGUUUUUUUUUUGCAAGCAAGCCAAAUACUGAGUACAUUAUACCAUGAGCAAGCCUACAUGUUUUUUUAGGUGUAUGUAUAGCUCUGACAAAAGAGCUAAACAAGUGAAAGCAAUGUCACGCGAGAAUAUACUUUAGGAGAGAAAAAAGUGCCCCAUGCAGAUACUGAAAUGCUCGUAGGAAUGUUAAAACAAGGUACUGAAGAAACAAAAGAAGAAGAAGAAAAACAUAUUUUCCACCCACCAUUCAGAACCAGAGCCUACACUAGCUCCAAAACUAUACAAUAUACAGUACAAUUUUUGCCUAAUUGUCUGGACUUUGUCGAGACACAAAGAAAGGCCCGGAACAUGCAUCCCGUUUCGCUGGCUCCUGACGCAUACACCAACAGGUGUUCAGUUAUCUCUUUUUUUUUUACUUUCUUUUCUUUAUCAUGAAAGAAGAAACACAGGUGUAUGUAUGUAUUGGCAGUUGCAGAAAUGGCUUUGGUCUUCCUUAAUUAAUUUGAUAGGCAACGUCUGCGUGUGCGUGGCUCCAAAUUUCUUCUGACGGACACACAGACAGGCUGAUUUUAUUCUAUGCAUAUCCUCUCCAGCCUUUUUCAGCGUGGCUGUAUUCUAUUGUAGGUUUGUCGAUGGAUCCAUCGAGCUUAUCCUAAAACAAUAAGAAAGAAAGGAAAAUUUUGAAUGGGAGGGGAAAAAGAUUUCGUCCAUGUGCACUAGAGAUGCCACUUUGUGAAAAUCGCUGUGUUUUGGAAUUUUUUAAGGCAGCUGGUUAAUUGUAGUCGUAUCCAUGGAUUGCUUUGGCUGUUUUUACUUUCAUUUUCUGAAACUCUUUUGCCUUUUUCAUUGCUGGUUAUACAA
RNAcentral lists this long non-coding RNA (938 nucleotides) under Brachypodium distachyon (stiff brome). RNAcentral describes it as "long non-coding RNA (BDIS_LNC003768)". Lineage: Eukaryota; Viridiplantae; Streptophyta; Magnoliopsida; Poales; Poaceae. The record is from RNAcentral.